This 683-nucleotide ribosomal RNA is filed under the name uncultured archaeon. RNAcentral describes it as "bacterial SSU rRNA". It matches the Rfam family "Archaeal small subunit ribosomal RNA", at positions 102 to 788 of the family's 1478-position model. The record is from RNAcentral.
AGUCAACAUGCCCAGGGGACGUGGAUAACCUCGGGAAACUGAGGAUAAACCGCGAUAGGUCAUCACUUCUGGAAUGGGUAAUGACUUAAAUCUAUAUGGCCCCUGGAUUGGACUGCGGCCGAUCAGGCUGUUGGUGAGGUAAUGGCCCACCAAACCUGUAACCGGUACGGGCUCUGAGAGGAGGAGCCCGGAGAUGGGCACUGAGACAAGGGCCCAGGCCCUAUGGGGCGCAGCAGGCGCGAAACCUCUGCAAUAGGCGAAAGCUUGACAGGGUUACUCUGAGUGAUUUCCGUUAAGGAGAUCUUUUGGCACCUCUAAAAAUGGUGCAGAAUAAGGGGUGGGCAAGUCUGGUGUCAGCCGCCGCGGUAAUACCAGCACCCCGAGUGGUCGGGACGUUUAUUGGGCCUAAAGCAUCCGUAGCCGGUUCUACAAGUCUUCCGUUAAAUCCACCUGCUUAACAGAUGGGCUGCGGAAGAUACUAUAGAGCUAGGAGGCGGGAGAGGCAAGCGGUACUCGAUGGGUAGGGGUAAAAUCCGUUGAUCCAUUGAAGACCACCAGUGGCGAAGGCGGCUUGCCAGAACGCGCUCGACGGUGAGGGAUGAAAGCUGGGGGAGCAAACCGGAUUAGAUACCCGGGUAGUCCCAGCUGUAAACGAUGCAGACUCGGUGAUGAGUUGGCUUAUU